AGCAGGCGCGUAAAUUGCCCGAAUCCUGACACAGGGAGGUAGUGACAAGAAAUAACGAUACAGGGUUACAUCUAGUCUUGUAAUUGGAAUGAGUACAAUUUACAUCUCUUAACGAUGAUCAAUUGGAGGGCAAGUCUGGUGCCAGCAGCCGCGGUAAUUCCAGCUCCAAUAGCGUAUAUUAAAGUUGUUGCAGUUAGAACGCUCGUAGUCGGAUUUCGGGGCGUUCCGACCGGUCUGCCGAUGGGUAUGCACUGGCCGGAGUGUCCUUUUUGCCGGAGACCGUGCCUACUCUUAACUGAGCGGGGGCGGGAGACGGCACUUUUACUUUGAAAAAAUCAGAGUGUUUCAAGCAGGCAGCUCGCUCUUGCAUGGAUUAGCAUGGGAUAAUGAAAUAGGACUUUGGUGCUAUUUUGUUGGUUUCGAACACCGAAGUAAUGAUGAGAAGGGACAGUCAGGGGCACUCGUAUUCCGCAGAGAGAGGUGAAAUUCUCAGACCCGCGGAAGACGAACCACUGCGAAAGCAUUUGCCAGGGAUGUUUUCACUGAUCAAGAACGAAAGUUAGGGGAUCGAAGAUGAUCAGAUACCGUCGUAGUCUUAACCAUAAACCAUGCCGACUAGGGAUUGGGGGAUGUUCACUGAUUGACUCCUUCAGCACCUUACGGGAAACUAAAGUCUUUGGGUUCCGGGGGGAGUAUGGUCGCAAGGCUGAAACUUAAAGGAAUUGACGGAAGGGCACCACCAGGUGUGGAGCCUGCGGCUUAAUUUGACUCAACACGGCGAAACUUACCAGGUCCAGACAUUGUGAGGAUUGACAGAUUGAGAGCUCUUUCAUGAUUUAAUGGGUGGUGGUGCAUGGCCGUUCUUAGUUGGUGGAGUGAUUUGUCUGGUUAAUUCCGUUAACGAACGGGACCUUAGCCUGCUAAAUAGUGACGCGAACUCUUUGUUGGCGGUCCACUACUUAGAGGGACAACUUGUCUUCAACAAGUGGAAGUUUGAGGCAAUAACAGGUCUGUGAUGCCCUUAGAUGUUCUGGGCCGCACGCGCGCUACACUGAUGCACUCAACGAGUCUCCACCUUGACCGAGAGGUCCGGGAAACCUUCGAACUUGCAUCGUGAUGGGGAUAGAUUAUUGCAACUAUUAAUCUUCAACGAGGAAUACCUAGUAGGCGCAUGUCAUCAGCGUGCGUUGA
This 1191-nucleotide ribosomal RNA is filed under the name Haptophyta environmental samples. Its description in RNAcentral is "SSU rRNA". It matches the Rfam family "Eukaryotic small subunit ribosomal RNA", at positions 427 to 1644 of the family's 1831-position model. Lineage: Eukaryota; Haptophyta. The record is from RNAcentral.